RNAcentral lists this ribosomal RNA (497 nucleotides) under uncultured bacterium. RNAcentral's name for it is "partial 16S ribosomal RNA". It matches the Rfam family "Bacterial small subunit ribosomal RNA", at positions 28 to 507 of the family's 1533-position model. The record is from RNAcentral.
GAUGAACGCUGGCGGCGUGCCUAAUACAUGCAAGUCGAGCGAACAGACGAGGAGCUUGCUCCUCUGACGUUAGCGGCGGACGGGUGAGUAACACGUGGAUAACCUACCUAUAAGACUGGGAUAACUUCGGGAAACCGGAGCUAAUACCGGAUAACAUGUUGAACCGCAUGGUUCAACAGUGAAGGACGGUCUUGCUGUCGCUUAUAGAUGGAUCCGCGCCGCAUUAGCUAGUUGGUAAGGUAACGGCUUACCAAGGCAACGAUGCGUAGCCGACCUGAGAGGGUGAUCGGCCACACUGGAACUGAGACACGGUCCAGACUCCUACGGGAGGCAGCAGUAGGGAAUCUUCCGCAAAGGGCGAAAGCCUGACGGAGCAACGCCGCGUGAGUGAAGAAGGUCUUCGGAUCGUAAAACUCUGUUAUUAGGGAAGAACAAAUGUGUAAGUAACUAUGCACGUCUUGACGGUACCUAAUCAGAAAGCCACGGCUAACUACGUG